RNAcentral lists this ribosomal RNA (440 nucleotides) under uncultured bacterium. Its description in RNAcentral is "partial 16S ribosomal RNA". It matches the Rfam family "Bacterial small subunit ribosomal RNA", at positions 338 to 795 of the family's 1533-position model. The record is from RNAcentral.
CCUACGGGAGGCAGCAGUGGGGGAUAUUGCACAAUGGGGGGAACCCUGAUGCAGCGACGCCGCGUGGGUGAAGAAGCGCCUCGGCGCGUAAAGCCCUGUCAGCAGGGAAGAAAAUGACGGUACCUGAAGAAGAAGCCCCGGCUAACUACGUGCCAGCAGCCGCGGUUAUACGGAGGGGGCAAGCGUUAACCGGAUUUACUGGGUGUAAAGGGGGGGCAGACGGGGAUGCAAGCCAGGAGGGAAAGCCGGGGGCCCAACCCCGGGAGUGCUGUUGGAACUGCGUGGCUGGAGUGCGGGAGGGGCAGGCGGAAUGCCUGGUGUAGCGGUGAAAUGCGUAGAUAUCAGGAGGAACGCCGGUGGCGAAGGCGGCCUGCUGGACUGCAACUGACGUUGAGGCCCGAAAGCGUGGGGAGCAAACAGGAUUAGAUACCCGUGUAGUC